GGGCUAAUGAUGAUAACUUCAUUAUCUUAGCGGAUUUCGGUAAGAGAUUUAUUUCAAUGAUCUGAAUGUUACACACACUGAAGCCC
Molecule: small nucleolar RNA, 86 nt
Organism: Quercus robur (English oak)
Lineage: Eukaryota; Viridiplantae; Streptophyta; Magnoliopsida; Fagales; Fagaceae
Product: small nucleolar RNA R11/Z151
Exons: 1
Source: RefSeq, a predicted model, not a curated record